RNAcentral lists this non-coding RNA (21 nucleotides) under Caenorhabditis elegans. Lineage: Eukaryota; Metazoa; Nematoda; Chromadorea; Rhabditida; Rhabditidae. The record is from RNAcentral.
UUGUCCCUGUUAUUGCCCCUU